GACGAACGCUGGCGGCGCGCUUAACACAUGCAAGUCGAACGGAAAGGCCUGCCUUCCCUUGUGGAUUGCGGGUACUCGAGUGGCGAACGGGUGAGUAACACGUGAGUGAUCUGCCCCCAACUUGGGUAUAAGCCUGGGAAACUGGGUCUAAUUCCCGAUCGGACUGCAGGGUGGUGCCUGUGGUGGAAAACGAUUUUCUAGUGGUUGGGGAUGAGCUCGCGGCCUAUCAGCUUGUUGGUGGGGUAAUGGCCUACCAAGGCGGCGACGGGUAGCCGGCCUGAGAGGGUGGACGGCGACAUUGGGACUGAGAUACGGCCCAGACGCCAACGGGAGGCAGCAGUGGGGAAUAUUGCAGAAUGGGCGGAAGCCUGAUGCAGCGACGCCGCGUGGGGGAUGACGGCCUUCGGGUUGUAAACUCCUUUCGACCGCGAGGAAGCCACCUGGUUGGAAGGGUGGUGACGGUAGUGGUAGAAGAAGCACCGGCUAACUACGUG
RNAcentral lists this ribosomal RNA (494 nucleotides) under uncultured bacterium. RNAcentral describes it as "partial 16S ribosomal RNA". It matches the Rfam family "Bacterial small subunit ribosomal RNA", at positions 28 to 507 of the family's 1533-position model. The record is from RNAcentral.